Dreissena polymorpha is the source of this 615-nucleotide long non-coding RNA. RefSeq lists it as uncharacterized. The record is from RefSeq and is a predicted model, not a curated record. The transcript has 3 exons. Lineage: Eukaryota; Metazoa; Mollusca; Bivalvia; Myida; Dreissenidae.
UAACCACUGCGCAUACAGCGUCCGGUGUUUACUUGUCAGAAUUCGUGACGCAUAUUCCAUUCGCUCUCAGACAGCAGUUUUACCGGUGAUCAUGGGCAAUAUUCUGAUAAAAUAGCCAUUCAUGGGAAAGCAGAGCGAAAGAAGAUCAUCUCAAUGCAGUCUGGCUGUCAAGUCGCAAAAUCUGUGAAAGGUCGUCUGUCUGGUGGAGAAGCUCUGGACAGCAGAAAUGGUCCACAACCUGUAUUUAGCAGAAAAGAGGAGGAAAUAAUGACAACAAGGCUUCAAGAAUUGUCUCUUGCAUGUUUCUUAUCAUCCGGUGUGUGCGAGUUAGCUAAUUUAUGAUAUGCGGUUAUCUCUUUUAUGAUAUUCGAAGAGAUUAAAACGCAUUGUAUCAAGCAAUUAAUAUCUCUUUUGUCACAAGGUUUUUGGAAAGUCAUGUGCUACAUGAUGCAAGUUGGUGUUAGGUUGUAAGGAGAUCAGUGUAUUUGCACCAUUUUAUUCUAUGCCGAGGUACUGAUGUUUUUAGCAUACUAUUUACUCUUUAUUUCAUUUCAUGAUCUAUUUUUGCGCCAUGUUAUUCUUAUGCACAGGUACUGCUUUUGUGUGCAUAAUAUG